Molecule: ribosomal RNA, 460 nt
Filed under: uncultured bacterium
Lineage: Bacteria
Description: partial 16S ribosomal RNA
Rfam family: Bacterial small subunit ribosomal RNA
Source: RNAcentral
GACGAACGCUGGCGGCGUGCUUAACACAUGCAAGUCGAGCGGUAAGGCCUCUUCGGGGGUACACGAGCGGCGAACGGGUGAGUAACACGUGGUUGACCUGGCCUCAGCCCUGGGAUAAGCUCGGGAAACUGGGUCUAAUACCGGAGAUGACCUUUCCUCGCAUGGGGUUUGGUGGAAAGUUUUUUCGGCAGGGGAUGGGAUCGGGGCCUAUCAGCUUGUUGGUGGGGUGAUGGCCUACCAAGGCGACGACGGGUAGCCGGCCUGAGAGGGCGACCGGCCACACGGAGAGUGACACGCGGCCCAGACCCCCACGGGGGGGAGGUGUGGGGAAUAUUGCGCAAGGGGCGGAAGCCUGACGCAGAGACGCCGCGAGGGAAAUGACGGCCUUCGUGUUGUACAUCUCUUUCUACCCCGGAGAAUUUGGACGGUAGGGAUAGAAGAAGCACCGGCCAACUACGUG